UAAGAACAUUCAAAUAAUGUGUUUUAUUGAUCCAUUAGAAAAACACAAACCUUCACUUCCUUAAUGUUUCAGAAAGAUGAUUUAGGUUCCUGUUUCCCAACUGUCAGCUCUCUUUCAACACCUGCCUUGAUAGGCUGCAGAUCACUUACUCUGUAAUAAUGUUGGCCAAACUGUUAACAAACUGUUUCAGUGUCUCAGAUUAAGCGUUUGUUACCAUGACACUGGACAAAAGAACAAAAACCACGGGAUAACUACAGCCUCCCCUGUAGUGAUGCUAAUGCACUUCAUUUGUUACAGUUCAUCUAUUUUGAUUGAAAGGUUGUAAGUAACUGUUAAUCACAUGGCUCUCUGCUUCCCCUGCACAGCAGGUUUGGUGGAUCUUUAUAAGGUCAGGUCAGUCAACACUCUUUUCCCAGAUUUUACAGUAAAACCACUAUUAGUUAUUCCCCAAAAAUCUCUGCAAAGGGAAAACAACUGAGGCAUGUACUGUAUUUACAGUCACUAUUGUGAUACUAGUCUUUUCAAAAACAUAGGAGAGCAGAGUGUGUCAAGGUCAUCGGUGAACCAGAAUUUAUGCGACAAGAAACCACUAAACGGAAAUUACUUCUUGUAAUAAGUUCUCUGACUGCAGACAUUUAUAGAUUUGUUUGGUUUUUGUCCUGAGAAGAACACAAACACGUCCUGACGUGUGUGUGGAACUGUGGAAGAAUGCACUGAGACGGCUGUGAAAAUGUCCACAUUUAAACUGGAAAGUUCUGAGUUAUGACCAGGCCUUUUUUGAAGAUGGUUGGUGUCGGGCAGGUAUAAGGCUCUGCAGACGCCUUAUUAACAAACAGACGGCACAUGUUCAGCUGGAAACUCUGUCUAUUUCUGCAUUAUCAUCAGCAACAAAUAUUAGGAUUUUAUUUGCACAGUUUGUUAGUUCUCCAGCUCUGUUCCAUCAGAAGUUUUUCUGUCAGUUGCGAUCUGACCCUGCACUCUGAACUGAGAAUCUCUCACCCACAAAACCACUGAUUAGUUUACUGCAAAAAGAAGAGGAAGAGGAAGAGGCCUUUUCACUGAUGGUGACAAAGAUCCAUUGCAGAGUCCAAACAUACAUGUGGAUGUGUGUUGAGAGCUGGCCAUGGAUGGACCAGACCAGGAAGUCCUUGGAUGUCCAGAGAACUCUUAUAGGUUGAAUAAAGAACAUAAAAAAAAA
This is a long non-coding RNA of Cynoglossus semilaevis (tongue sole), 1198 nucleotides long. RefSeq lists it as uncharacterized. NCBI's taxonomy places the organism in Eukaryota, Metazoa, Chordata, Actinopteri, Pleuronectiformes, Cynoglossidae. The record is from RefSeq and is a predicted model, not a curated record. The transcript has 2 exons.